AUACGUAGGGGGCGAGCGUUGUCCGGAAUGAUUGGGCGUAAAGGGCGCGUAGGCGGCGCGGCAAGUCUGGAGUGAAAGUCCUGCUUUCAAGGUGGGAAUUGCUUUGGAUACUGCCGCGCUUGAGUGCAGGAGAGGUUAUCGGAAUUCCCGGUGUAGCGGUGAAAUGCGUAGAGAUCGGGAGGAACACCAGUGGCGAAGGCGGGUAACUGGACUGCAACUGACGCUGAGGCGCGAAAGUGUGGGGAGCAAACAGGAUUAGAUACCCUGGUAGUCCACACUGUAAACGAUGAAUGCUAGGUGUAAGAGGUAUCGACCCCUUUUGUGCCGGAGUCAACACAAUAAGCAUUCCGCCUGGGGAGUACGGCCGCAAGGUUGAAACUCAAAGGAAUUGACGGGG
This 397-nucleotide ribosomal RNA is filed under the name uncultured bacterium. RNAcentral describes it as "partial 16S ribosomal RNA". It matches the Rfam family "Bacterial small subunit ribosomal RNA", at positions 523 to 918 of the family's 1533-position model. The record is from RNAcentral.